This is an RNA transcript of Metopolophium dirhodum (rose-grain aphid), 589 nucleotides long. RefSeq lists it as uncharacterized. The transcript has 3 exons. The record is from RefSeq and is a predicted model, not a curated record. NCBI's taxonomy places the organism in Eukaryota, Metazoa, Arthropoda, Insecta, Hemiptera, Aphididae.
GCAUUAUCUCUUCGACGGCCUGCGAGUCGCAUUCGACGUUACACUCGCUACCAUUGUCCACCUGAAUUCUUGGACGGAACGGAAGACGACGACAAUACGCACCACCAUCGCCGGACGACUCUUUAAACGAUAACCGCAGAGGUGCUGUCGCAGAGCUAAGCCCUCGUUCCGGCAACAACAGACCACGCACCGAGUAGUCCACUGGAUGUGAUGCCGUCUCAUCAUAGCUCGUUUGACAAUGGUGGACGUGGAGGUCGUGGUAGCUGCCCUGGCCGUCUUGGUCGAUUUUCCAAAAGAAAUAGGUGUAGUUUUUGCAGAAAACGGGGUCACUUUGAAAGUGACUGUUGGUACAAUCAGCCAACACCGGUCACUGAGGAAGAUUAUGCCACAGUGUCAGUUUCGAAAACUUCAGUCUUAGCGUUAUGUGAACAUUUAAGACAUGAGCAUCUGCAGCUGCGGCGUCUGGUAAUGGUGCUAAUUCUGCUGCUGCUGUUUCUACUGGUGCGCUUAAACAGCACCUAACAACAGCAGAUACAACACCUAUAACAGUAGCUAAGACAAUAACAACUACAACAACAAAAAACUGUGU